AUUGAACGCUGGCGGCAGGCUUAACACAUGCAAGUCGAACGAUGAAGAUAUAGCUUGCUAUAUCGGAUUAGUGGCGGACGGGUGAGUAACACUUAGGAAUCUACCUUUUAGCGGGGGAUAGCUCGGGGAAACUCGAAUUAAUACCGCAUAAUUUCUACGGAAUAAAGAGGGCUUUUAGCUCUCACUAGAAGAUGAGCCUAAGUAAGAUUAGCUAGUUGGUGGGGUAAAAGCCUACCAAGGCGACGAUCUUUAGCUGGUCUGAGAGGAUGAUCAGCCACACUGGGACUGAGACACGGCCCAGACUCCUACGGGAGGCAGCAGUGGGGAAUAUUGGACAAUGGGGGCAACCCUGAUCCAGCCAUGCCGCGUGUGUGAAGAAGGCCUUUUGGUUGUAAAGCACUUUAAGCAGUGAAGAAGACCUAUUGAUUAAUACCCAAUAGCGAUGACAUUAACUGCAGAAUAAGCACCGGCUAACUCUGUGCCAGCAGCCGCGGUAAUACAGAGGGUGCAAGCGUUAAUCGGAAUUACUGGGCGUAAAGCGAGCGUAGGUGGUUAAAUAAGUCAGAUGUGAAAGCCCUGGGCUCAACCUAGGAACGGCAUCUGAAACUAUUUAACUAGAGUAGGUGAGAGGGAAGUAGAAUUUCAGGUGUAGCGGUGAAAUGCGUAGAGAUCUGAAGGAAUACCGAUGGCGAAGGCAGCUUCCUGGCAUCAUACUGACACUGAGGCUCGAAAGCGUGGGUAGCAAACAGGAUUAGAUACCCUGGUAGUCCACGCCGUAAACGAUGUCUACUAGCCGUUGGGGGACUUGAUUCCUUAGUGGCGCAGCUAACGCAAUAAGUAGACCGCCCUGGGGAGUACGGCCGCAAGGUUAAAACUCAAAUGAAUUGACGGGGGCCCGCACAAGCGGUGGAGCAUGUGGUUUAAUUCGAUGCAACGCGAAGAACCUUACCUGGUCUUGACAUACACAGAAUCUUGUAGAGAUACGAGAGUGCCUUCGGGAAUUGUGAUACAGGUGCUGCAUGGCUGUCGUCAGCUCGUGUCGUGAGAUGUUGGGUUAAGUCCCGCAACGAGCGCAACCCUUAUCCUUAGUUGCCAGCACGUAAUGGUGGGGACUGUAAGGAGACUGCCAGUGACAAAUUGGAGGAAGGCGGGGACGACGUCAAGUCAUCAUGGCCCUUACGACCAGGGCUACCGCGUGCUACAAUGGUAAGUACGAGGGAGGCAACACAGCGAUGUGAAGCCAAUCUCAAAACGCUUAUCU
Molecule: ribosomal RNA, 1261 nt
Filed under: uncultured bacterium
Lineage: Bacteria
Description: bacterial SSU rRNA
Rfam family: Bacterial small subunit ribosomal RNA
Source: RNAcentral